This 1215-nucleotide long non-coding RNA is filed under the name Monodelphis domestica (gray short-tailed opossum). RNAcentral describes it as "lncRNA (ENSMODG00000040077.1)". The record is from RNAcentral. Lineage: Eukaryota; Metazoa; Chordata; Mammalia; Didelphimorphia; Didelphidae.
GUCAGAGAGAGAAAGACAGACAGACGGGGUGGAAAGGGGAAGGUUCAGCUGGGACCCUGGCAUCCUGCCUUCAAGCCUCCUCUUCUUUUCCCAGGGGACCCUCCAAGGAGCCCGCCCCCGCAGCCUUUCCCAGCCCCUCCUCUCAGAUACACAGCUUCUCUGAGCCUCUCUUCCCUUUCUCCCUUUUUUCCUUCACUGUCUUCUCAUCUCUCUCUUUCUCCUUCUCCCUGUUUCCCUUCACUGUCUUCUCAUCUAUCUCUCUCUUCAUCCUUCUCCCUGUUUCCCUUCACUGUCUUCUCAUUUAUCUCUCUCUCUUCAUCCUUCUCCGUUUCCCUUCACUGUCUUCUGUUUCAACAUCAUCUCUCUCUUCCCCUUCUCCCUUUCCCCUUGACUGGCUUCUCAUCAAUCUAUCUCUUCAUCCUUCUCCCUGUUUCCCGUCACUGUCUGCUCAUCUCUCUUCAUCCAUCUCACUUUUGUCCGUCACUGUCUUCUCAGCGAUCGGUCUCUUCAUCCUUCUCCCUGUUUCACUUCGCUGACUUCUCAUCUAUCUCUCUCUUCAUCCUUCUCCGGUUCGCUUCACUGUCUUCUGUUUCUCUCAGCUCUCUCUUCCCCUUCUCCCUUUUUCCCUUCACUGUCUUCUCAUCUAUCUUUCUCUUCAUCCUUCUCCCUGUUUCCCUUCACUGUCUUCUCUGUUUCUUUCAUCUCUUCCCCUUCUCCCUUUUUUCCUUCACUGUCUUCUACUCUCUCUGUGUCUCUCAUCUCUCUCUUCCCCCUACUCCCUCUGUCUCUCUGUCCCUCUCCUCUCCUUCACUCUCCUCUCUGUCUCUGUCUCUUCCUUUCUUCUCUCUUGCUUGUCUCCUUCCCUCUCUCCUUUCUCCUCCUGACUCCUUUCCCUUCUCACACUCACAUCUGUCCUUCCUUCAAGGGGACAGUAAGACAGAAAAUAGGUCUCGUCUCCUGUCUGUCAGUCUGAUUCCUUUCCCAUUCUCGGACCCUCCGUCUCUUCCUCUCUAUCUGGCUCUGCUGUUCUCAGUGUCUGUCUCUCCCCACUUCCAGUGGCCCAUGGACUCCCAGAGACGCCUUGAUUGGGGAGGGGAGUGUGUACUCCUGGUCCCCAAUCCUCAGGGUUUCUUCCCCUCCCUGUUCAUCCUACCCCCACUUUCUUCAAAUGCCAGCAGCCUCUGUCCUUUCUGCUGCCCCAGGCCGUUGCUCUGA